RNAcentral lists this long non-coding RNA (930 nucleotides) under Salvator merianae (Argentine black and white tegu). RNAcentral describes it as "lncRNA (ENSSMRG00000022185.1)". The record is from RNAcentral. Lineage: Eukaryota; Metazoa; Chordata; Lepidosauria; Squamata; Teiidae.
CAAUAACAUUUGUUUCAAUUAUUUCUAGGUGAAUUAUUUAUAUCCAAAUUGUUAUGAACAACUGGAGAUGAAUCACUACAAAAAGAUGCCAAAAGCUGAAAUUCCAUCUUCAGUGAGUGGAAAGCAGCAGCAAAUGCAUGAUAAGGAUUCUUCUAAAAUACAAAGAGUUNCAGAAAAAAAGAAAAAGGCUUUGAGGGAGCAGAAAGAUCAAAAUACUGUUGAAAUAUCUGAAGCUCAAGACUGUGACACCACUACCUUUGCCCCAAAGCAGAUAACUACCAUUCCUUUAACUCUGGAAGACAUUGCUCUCUACAGUCCAAUUGUGGAAGCAAAGCCAUUAGGCAACUAUUGGACAAACUAUGUUGACAGCGACUCUGUCAUCAGUAUUGAAAAAUAUUAACUUGAAGUGGCUUCCUGUGGAUAUAUUUCAUGAAGUUUGUGAUUAUCCGCAAGUGUGACUAUUCUUUUUGUACAUAUGUGUGCUGAGGAGUUCUAUCAUUUUGCUUAAUUUUAUGCUAUUGAUUUUCUUUAAUAAUUCUUUGAGAGCAGUUUUUUUUAAAAAACUGAAAAUUUAACUUCUAUUUAUCUAUAGUUUUCUUGCUUUGUUAACAUUUUGAACAUUCUCAUUGUAGUAGUACUAAGACCAACACCUCAUUACCUAAGAUUAGCUGCCAAAAAGUUAACAUCCAAGAAACAUCUAUAAGAAGGGUGACUAGAUCCAGCACACCAUCAGUUGUUUUGAUUCUUCCAGAAGUCAGGUUCUCAUCUAGCUCCCCCNGGGGAAGGGAGGGGAGAAGAUAAGAGAAAAUGGACAGUGAAUAUAAUAGUAUCAUAUAAAUAUGAUAUGAUGUGUAGUAGAGAAGUUGUAAUAAUGUACAAAUUUUUAUAUAUCUAUAAUAAAUUGAAAAUAAAAAAAUAGUAAGAGAGCCA